Molecule: ribosomal RNA, 238 nt
Filed under: uncultured bacterium
Lineage: Bacteria
Description: partial 16S ribosomal RNA
Rfam family: Bacterial small subunit ribosomal RNA
Source: RNAcentral
CCGGCGCACGGGUGAGUAACGCGUAUCCAACCUGCCUUACACUCUUGGACAGCCUUCUGAAGGGAGAUUAAUACAAGAUGUUAUCAUGAGUAAGCAUUUUCACAUGAUUAAAGGUUUACCGGUGUAAGAUGGGGAUGCGUUCCAUUAGACAGUAGGCGGGGUAACGGCCCACCUAGUCUUCGAUGGAUAGGGGUUCUGAGAGGAAGGUCCCCCACAUUGGAACUGAGACACGGUCCAA